This 302-nucleotide long non-coding RNA is filed under the name Panax ginseng (ginseng). RNAcentral's name for it is "long non-coding RNA (PGIN_LNC002232)". Lineage: Eukaryota; Viridiplantae; Streptophyta; Magnoliopsida; Apiales; Araliaceae. The record is from RNAcentral.
AGUCGGAAGGAGGCGGGGGCGAUGGAUCUGGUGUGGAAGGAGGCGGGGGCGGCGGAUCUGGUGUGGAAGGAGGCGGCGGCGGUGGAUCUUUCCCCCAAUCUCUGUCUCUUCUCUUUCACAAGGCGGCGGCUGAAGGAGGAUCUGUCUCUUCUCUUUCACAAGGCGGCGGCGAGGCGGCGGCGGCGGAUCCAGAUCUUUUGAACGCCUGAAUUUCUCUCUCUUCUCUUUCACAAGAUCUGGUGUCUCGAUUCCUUAUCCAGAUCGGUUGUUGGUGAUGUUGAUGUCCCUAGUAGUGGUGGUGG